UUUCAAACUAAGAAAUAAGAAGAGAGAAUUGUGUUUUUUCUUAAUGGAAGAAAUCUUCUUUUAAUGAAGGAAAUGCCUUCCUAUUUAUAGAGUUUUCCCUGCCACCGCUGAGCUGCGUCUUUGCACUGCUCAGCAGCUGACCAAACUCUUCAGCAUGGGUUUGGUCACUUGGUGAAGUAGCUUCGUCACCUCCUUAAGCUUGAAUCACCAAGGCUGGUUGUGAGCUAUGGGACCUAUGGUGAGCUACUCCUGAAAAGCCUAUGGUGGGCUACUUGAAGUGAGGUCAUGCAUGACUUCAUGGUUUCUUGAUGGCUAAGUUAUUCUGGGUGCACACCGCUGAGCACACAUGUGGCACCGUAAGCUUCCUGCUUGAGCAGCUUGGGCAUGUGCCAGGCUUGUGUCUGACCGUGCCAAGCUUAUGUUCUAGCCGUGUUAGGCUUUGUCUGGUGCUAGGCUGAGCAGUCAAGCAGGUCCGUGAAGCUGCCUUCUUGAGCAACUUGAUAUGUGCUAGGUUGAUUUGACUGAGCCAGGUUGGGUCUGACCGUGCCAGGCUGGUGUCCAGGUUAGCUCAGCGUAGCUUGGUCCAUGCUAAGCUGUCUGCUUGAGCACCUUGAGUUUGACUUCUUUUUCUUCAUGGACCAUGAGUCUUUAUUCUCCUUUCUUUUUCUUUCUAAAUCCUACAAAACAUAUUAAAGAUAAAUACAAACACAAAUAUACAAGAUUAUGAUAUUUUAUCCAAAAAGUAUUGUUUUUAAGUUGGUUUUUCUCAAUUAUGCUUAAGAUAAGUGCCAUAAAAGUGUAUGAAAUUUAGGUAUGUUUGACACUUAUCACUAAUUCGCCUACUAAGAUCUCCUAUCCAUUUGCGAUUCGGCCCCAACCUUAGUAUCGCUUGAACCUAGACCUCCUAGUCUCUGUGAAGAUUAUCAAAAUCUCUCUUGUAGUGAAACUAUUCACAAGAAAUCAACUUCCUUGUUCAAAUAUGAUUUUGUUGAGUUGUCUUGAGUACUUAAUACUCAGAUUCAACAAUUAAAACUCAAUAAAAAAGAUUAAACAAAAAAUUUACAAGAACCUAAUCUAAAUGAAAUUUAAUGCAUUGAAUUUUCAUAAAAUUGAUUUGCACACUUUUCAGAAAAAUAUAUUCCUCACUUUUCUCUCAAAGAUAUCAAGAACUGUAUGGAAGAAUACAAUGCAUAGAAAACUAGAGAAAACAUGCAAUGAUUUGAAUUUCUAAGCCUAAUUCAGAAUGCUCUCACGCUCUAAGUUUUCUAAACCCACUUUCUCACUGUAAUGCAAUGUAUGAUAAUGUAUGCUCUUUACUAUUUUCGAAAAUAUGCAAGUAAUGCCACAUUGGCAAGAAUUAUAACAUUUAUACUAAUCAUAUUGAUACUGCUAUUAAUCGAUUAUUCAUCCACUUAAUCGAUUAACGAGCUGUUAAAAGUUUGUUUUCUGUUACAUCUUAAUCGAUUAUAUAAUGUCUUAAUCGAUUAACGCACCAACAACAUCAGAUUGGUUAGUAACUGAAUUCUUGAUGUUCGAUUACACAUAAUACUAAAUCGAUUAUACUGAUUAAAAAUGUUUAUUUUGAUGUAUGGUAAACUACCUAUAUGAUAUGAACAUGCUAUGCAUAGUUUUUCAAAUAUAACAUCUUUAAUGCAUAAGACUAUGUAUGUGAAUAUAUGAUCCUACUAAUCAUAAGAUAUCUAGAUGUUAUGUCUCAAUUUUAAUCUUGUUUUUUUGUAGUUCUUGUGAGACUCCCACCUAAGUUUAUCUAACCAUAGACUCAAUCAAAGGCAACCAUCUUAAGAUUUCUAAUAAAAGUAAAUAUUAUAAUGCCCUUAGUCUAUAGAUGCAACCUCCAAGUUUUCGGCUCGUUGUUUGUUGUACGAUCUUCAAGCUUACUUGUAUAUUUAUUGUCUAUAUCAAAACUUAGGUUAGCAUCCAAUGUGUACGUUUUGAAUCUUUGCACUUUCAGUUUUAUGCAAGAACAUUUAUGAGUUGUCCAAAUUUAUAUCUAGAUAUAUAAACAUAGUUAUAUUUAUAUGUAUAAAAUUUUUUGUAAUAUUUUUUAAAAAUAAUUAAUUAUUUAAGUUGACCAAAUAAAUCAAUUCGAACUGGUUUGAAUAGUUGGCAAAUUUUUGGUUAGGCUCGUUUUGAUAAGUAUGUAUCGUGUCCCGCUGGUUUUGGUGAAGAUAAGACUGAUUUGUUUGUAUAAAUUAAAAUGAGAAUCAAAUAUAUCCAAUUUCUAUAAUAAUUUAAUCAAGAACGACACCCUUACCAGUUUUCUGAGACAAAUCAGAUCAGCUUCAACUCAUGACUUUCCCAUUCCAUAUCAUCCUUCAUCUAAAUUUCUAAAUUUUACAUUCUCCAAAUUAAUAUCGAAAUAUA
RNAcentral lists this long non-coding RNA (2385 nucleotides) under Lupinus angustifolius (narrow-leaved blue lupine). RNAcentral's name for it is "long non-coding RNA (LANG_LNC001868)". Lineage: Eukaryota; Viridiplantae; Streptophyta; Magnoliopsida; Fabales; Fabaceae. The record is from RNAcentral.